GUAGGGUGCGAGCGUUAAUCGGAAUUACUGGGCGUAAAGCGUGCGUAGGUGGUUUUUUAAGUCCGUUGUGAAAGCCCUGGGCUCAACCUGGGAAUGGCAGUGGAUACUGGAAGGCUAGAGUGCGGUAGAGGGUAGUGGAAUUCCCGGUGUAGCAGUGAAAUGCGUAGAGAUCGGGAGGAACACCAGUGGCGAAGGCGGCUACCUGGACCAGCACUGACACUGAGGCACGAAAGCGUGGGGAGCAAACAGGAUUAGAUACCCUGGUAGUCCACGCCCUAAACGAUGCGAACUGGAGGUUGGGUGCAACUUGGCACUCAGUCUCGAAGCUAACGCGUUAAGUUCGCCGCCUGGGGAGUACGGUCGCAAGACUG
RNAcentral lists this ribosomal RNA (371 nucleotides) under uncultured bacterium. RNAcentral's name for it is "bacterial SSU rRNA". It matches the Rfam family "Bacterial small subunit ribosomal RNA", at positions 527 to 896 of the family's 1533-position model. The record is from RNAcentral.